This 300-nucleotide ribosomal RNA is filed under the name uncultured Alteromonadaceae bacterium. Its description in RNAcentral is "bacterial SSU rRNA". It matches the Rfam family "Bacterial small subunit ribosomal RNA", at positions 114 to 423 of the family's 1533-position model. Lineage: Bacteria; Pseudomonadati; Pseudomonadota; Gammaproteobacteria; Alteromonadales; Alteromonadaceae. The record is from RNAcentral.
UGCUUGGGAACUUGCCUUUGCGAGGGGGAUAACAGUUGGAAACGACUGCUAAUACCGCAUAAUGUCUUCGGACCAAACGGGGCUUCGGCUCCGGCGCAAAGAGAGGCCCAAGUGAGAUUAGCUAGUUGGUGAGGUAAAGGCUCACCAAGGCAACGAUCUCUAGCUGUUCUGAGAGGAAGAUCAGCCACACUGGAACUGAGACACGGUCCAGACUCCUACGGGAGGCAGCAGUGGGGAAUAUUGCACAAUGGGCGCAAGCCUGAUGCAGCCAUACCGCGUGUGUGAAGAAGGCCUUAGGGU